AAAUGAAUUGACGGGGACCCGCACAAGCAGCGGAGCAUGUGGUUUAAUUCGAAGCAACGCGAAGAACCUUACCAGGGCUUGACAUCUAUUUGCCAUUUGUAGAGAUACAAAGUUUUCUUCGGAAACAAAUAGACAGGUGGUGCAUGGUUGUCGUCAGCUCGUGUCGUGAGAUGUUGGGUUAAGUCCCGCAACGAGCGCAACCCUUGCCUUUAGUUGCCAUCAUUAAGUUGGGCACUCUAGAGGGACUGCCGAUGACAAAUCGGAGGAAGGUGGGGAUGACGUCAAAUCAUCAUGCCCUAUAUGUCCUGGGCUACACACGUGCUACAAUGGUCGGUACAGCGAGCAGCUACACAGCGAUGUGAUGCGAAUCUCACAAAGCCGAUCUCAGUUCGGAUUGCAGGCUGCAACUCGCCUGCAUGAAGUCGGAGUUGCUAGUAAUCGUGGAUCAGCAUGCCACGGUGAAUGCGUUCCCGGGUCUUGCACACACCGCCCGU
This 494-nucleotide ribosomal RNA is filed under the name uncultured bacterium. RNAcentral's name for it is "bacterial SSU rRNA". It matches the Rfam family "Bacterial small subunit ribosomal RNA", at positions 903 to 1397 of the family's 1533-position model. The record is from RNAcentral.